UGGGGAAUAUUGGACAAUGGGCGCAAGCCUGAUCCAGCCAUGCCGCGUGAGUGAUGAAGGCCCUAGGGUUGUAAAGCUCUUUCACCGGUGAAGAUAAUGACGGUAACCGGAGAAGAAGCCCCGGCUAACUUCGUGCCAGCAGCCGCGGUACUACGAAGGGGGCUAGCGUUGUUCGGAUUUACUGGGCGUAAAGCGCACGUAGGCGGACUUUUAAGUCAGGGGUGAAAUCCCGGGGCUCAACCCCGGAACUGCCUUUGAUACUGGAAGUCUUGAGUAUGGUAGAGGUGAGUGGAAUUCCGAGUGUAGAGGUGAAAUGCGUAGAUAUUCGGAGGAAAACCAGUGGCGAAGGCGGCUCACUGGACCAUUACUGACGCUGAGGUGCGAAAGCGUGGGGAGCAAACAGG
RNAcentral lists this ribosomal RNA (404 nucleotides) under Actinomycetes bacterium. RNAcentral's name for it is "Actinobacteria bacterium partial 16S ribosomal RNA". It matches the Rfam family "Bacterial small subunit ribosomal RNA", at positions 355 to 776 of the family's 1533-position model. The record is from RNAcentral. Lineage: Bacteria; Bacillati; Actinomycetota; Actinomycetes.